Clupea harengus (Atlantic herring) is the source of this 1484-nucleotide long non-coding RNA. The record is from Ensembl. Lineage: Eukaryota; Metazoa; Chordata; Actinopteri; Clupeiformes; Clupeidae.
CAGUUGAUGUAUUGCCCUAAGUAAAGACACGAAUCUCAUAGGUGAAGAAGCGCCACUAGGCUUGCUGUUUAGCCAAUUAUCCGGCUACAAGGGACGUCUACUGCCAUGGGUUAGCGGCAUUGCUAUAUCAGUGUGUUUUUUUUUUUGCUUUUUGGAUUGUUUGAAGAUAAAUUAACUACUAAAUUGGUCAACUAACAAGGAUUUCUGGACGCCAGGAGUUAGACACCAUUGGUGUAACUGAGAAGAACUAGAACUGAUCAACUAGCAUAUACGCACUGAAGGUGCGCGUGAAAUGUCAUGUGAUCACGUCUCUCUGUCAGAGCCCGGAUAGCUCAGUCGGUAGAGCAUCAGACUUUUAAUCUGAGGGUCCAGGGUUCAAGUCCCUGUUCGGGCGGCAUGAUUUUCCUAUUCGGUCGAUUAUGUCCUCAACUCUUAGGUGUAUCCUACACCAGUGUUACCAGCCAAAGUUACCAGCCAUUUCAGAAGUUAAGGUACUAUACCCUUAUACACUUUUAAGAAUUGGUACAAUAUUACCUGUUUCACAAACUAUGCCAGAAUCCUCCACUUCCUGAGUAACAGCACACACCACCCUGACAUAAGUGAACUUAGGCAGUGGGAAAAAAGGGCCUCCAUUUGCAGAUCAGCAAAGAAUUGCUAAAUACACACCGUACAAUGCGAUGUUUUGUCGUCACCCACGCUGUCCUGAUGUCACGGAACGAACCGACUUCGAGAUAGGAAUAGUUGGAACAGAGUUUAUUGCAGACAGAGACAGCCAGGAACACACAGGACAGACAACAGGUUGCAGACACGGAGAUGCAGAUGCAGACACGGAGAUACUGAGGGGUUCAUCCUCGAGAGCACAGUCACAACCCACGGCAGGGCGCAGGCUCGUAAGCACUGCUGGGAACUGCGGGAACUGGCGAUUCAAUCGCAGAAAUGAUAUAAGCCGAAGCAACCUCUGAACAACCUAACUAUAAAUGAAAAUGCCGUUGCGGCAAACUAAACACGAGUCACACUCGGCAAGGCACUAACUAAACAAGAACUAAGCUGAUAAGCUAAACGAGAACUUAGGCGGUAAACGUAACUGACACAAACUAUGGGGGGAGAGUAAGUAAUCCUCAUGCAAGUCGGGCCGCGGGAAACCCACAGUUUGUGAAUCCGUUGAAGUGCGAUACCAGACACCUGAGUGAAGGGAGUGUGAGGUAUAUGUAGGGGCUGUGACAGGUGUGGGUGAUUAUGAACCCGGUGACUGUAAACGCGGUGCAGGUGAGUGAGGAUACAGGUGUACGUGAUCAGUAUUCCGGUGAGUGAAGCGAGAGAGUGGAACAGGUGUAUGUGCUUGUGUGAUUGGGGACCUGAAUGCAGCUGAUGCGCGUGCCGCUGGAGAGUUCGAUGCUGAAGGGGGCGUGGCCGGAGCGGAGCUCCACAGGAACGUGACACCUGAGGUCCUCAAUAUGGUGGAACCUCUGUCCGAACAAUUUGUU